CCUACGGGAGGCAGCAGUGGGGAAUAUUGGACAAUGGGCGGCAAGCCUGAUCCAGAAAUACCGCGUGAGUGAAGAAGGCCUUCGGGUUGUUAAAGCAUUUUCAAUGGAGAAGAAAAGAUUAAGGUUAAUACCCUUGUCAUUGACGUUACCUUAAGAAGAAGCACCGG
This 167-nucleotide ribosomal RNA is filed under the name bacterium symbiont of Siboglinum sp. Its description in RNAcentral is "partial 16S ribosomal RNA". It matches the Rfam family "Bacterial small subunit ribosomal RNA", at positions 338 to 496 of the family's 1533-position model. The record is from RNAcentral.